RNAcentral lists this ribosomal RNA (1377 nucleotides) under Macrotermes vitrialatus. Its description in RNAcentral is "16S ribosomal RNA". The stretch from base 1086 to 1245 matches the Rfam family "Bacterial large subunit ribosomal RNA", at positions 2473 to 2632 of the family's 2925-position model. The record is from RNAcentral. Lineage: Eukaryota; Metazoa; Arthropoda; Insecta; Blattodea; Termitidae.
GCGAUUCGGCAUGGUCUGAUUUUAUCUGUUUUCUUGCGUUUUUGGUUUGUUUUUGUUAGAUUUUAUUGAAGUAUCAUUUUUGUUGUUGUAUGGUUUAAGGUUUGAUUCUUUUUGUGAUAGUUUAUUUGUACUGUGGAGGGCUGUUAUAUUGUUUUUGUGGAAGCUGAUUUUGUUUGUUGUACCUUGUGUAUCAGGGUUUAUUGAAUUUUAUUAUUUAUUUUUAUUUCCCGAUUCUGAAGGAGUUAAUGGUUUAUUUUGGUUACUGUUUCAUUAGUAUCAAUAAUGUUCUGUUGGUAGUGAGAUGUUAGUCGUCUUUGGUGGUUUCUGGUUUUUCAAGAAAUGAAUUUAAUUCAUGCGCUUUAUUUAUGUUUUAUUAUUUGUUUAUUCUUUUUUAUUUGGCGUUAAGAUUAAGGGGGAUUAGCUCUUUGUUUUGUUUUUAUAACUUUAUUUUUAAUUUAGUUUUGUGGAUUUUAUGGUGAUUUUCGAUUUGAUUAUGUUAAAAUUUUAUUUUUUCUUUUUUUUAUUUUGUUUUGGUUUAAGCUUUUUAUUGAGAUGUUUUUUUUAUUUUGUUUUGGUUGGUAAUUAUUGUGGAAUUAGUAAAUUGUUUAUUUUUGUUUUGUUUGUUUUGGUGUUAAUUUCUUUUGAGGAAUUAGGCAAAGGUUUUAUGUCCGCCUGUUUAGCAAAAACAUCUUUUCUUGUUAAUUUUUGAAGUAUGGUCUGCCCACUGACUUAUAGGUUGAAGGGCCGCGGUAUUUUGACCGUGCAAAGGUAGCAUAAUCAUUAGUUCUUUAAUUGUGAUCUGGUAUGAAUGGCUUGACGAGAUAUAAUCUGUCUUUGAUUGGAUUAUUUUAUUGAAUUUGGGGUUUGAGUUAAAAUUCUUAAAUGUUUUUAUGGGACGAGAAGACCCUAUAGAGUUUUACUUAUCUUUAUAUAAUAAUUUUUUUGUUUGUGUGUGAGUGUUAUGUGUAGUUUUAGUUUUGUUGGGGUGAUGGGAGGAAUUUUCUUAACUCCUCUUUGUAUUUGGUAUAUUUAUUUGUGUUUGUUUUGAUCCAUUUAUUUUGAUUAUAAGAUUAAAUUACCUUAGGGAUAACAGCGUUAUCCUCCUUGAGAGUUCUUAUUGGCGGGGGGGUUUGCGACCUCGAUGUUGGAUUAAGGUUAAUUUUUGGUGUAGGAGCUGAAUUGAUUGGGUCUGUUCGACCUUUAAAAUCUUACAUGAUCUGAGUUCAAACCGGCGUGAGCCAGGUUGGUUUCUAUCUAUAAUGAGUUUUAUAUCUUAGUACGAGAGGACCGGGUAUUUGGAAUAAUUUUUUUAUGUGUUGUUUGUUAUUAAUAGUUGCUAUUUUGGCAGAUAAGUGCGUUGGAUUUAGAAUCUAUUAA